Cavia porcellus (domestic guinea pig) is the source of this 4660-nucleotide long non-coding RNA. RefSeq lists it as uncharacterized. Lineage: Eukaryota; Metazoa; Chordata; Mammalia; Rodentia; Caviidae. The record is from RefSeq and is a predicted model, not a curated record. The transcript has 3 exons.
UGCACUCUGGUAACCAGUGACACUGUCCCAAACCUGAGGAUACACUGGCCUAAAUAAAUAAUAAGCAGGGGAAGCUGACAACCGGUUUGUUUUACCAUUGUUCUUGAGAGCAUGAGGUAAUGCUACUUAUUCAACUAGUGUUGCAAGUGGACAACAGACAUGUGGAGAAUAUCAGCGGUGAGAAAUGAGGGAAGUCCUACCCAGACCAGCAGCAGAGUCCAGCUUUACACAACAGAGGCUUCUAAAAGAACCGCAGUUGCACUGAAGUGCAGUCAUGAUGAAGUUGGAGGUCAGUGAGCCCAACAAAGACUGGAGCCUGCAAGGGACCUGCAUUGACCUACGAAAGGAUAGAAAUACAUGUUAAGGGAUGGAGCUAAGAUGGAAGAUAGAUAACAGCUGGCUACAGAGGCUCCCAGAGAUAGUCAACUUAGAGCUCAUAAUACAACAUGGGGAGCCUCUAACAGACAGAGAGGAAUUCUCUCAUCCCAAGAAGAAACUAAGGUGGGAAAAACCAAUCAAACAUACACUCUCAGUCAGCUGCACCACUGUGCAGCCCUGAGCACCUCCGGGCCCUCCAGCGAGACAGGUCAUCGCCAUGCCGCUGCCUCCAGCCACUGUCUCCAACUCUGUUGCCAGGGGCCUGCCAGAGGCUGGGAGAAUGAAGCAACUCGGCACCCCCUGGCUGCCCCCACCACCUACACCACUGCCACUGCCGCUGCCCCCUCCCCAGAUCCAGGCCCUGUCCUAGAAGGCAGGAGGAAGAGGGCACGUUGCGGCAUCAUGGGUAUGGGACCAGACCUGUUGGGACACAUCGCCACCGUCGCACUUACCCCUCGCAUGAUGACACGAGCUUGCGGGCCCCCUCCGCCAGAGAGCCUCCAAAGUCCCCAUGCAGGUGAGUGUGUCUUCAUCACCGCCAGGCCUGCGGGACCAGAGCCCCAUGGAGCCACCACCAUGAACAGAGCCCAGAGAAGCUGCUUCUGAAAACACCUUUUCAAACAAUAAUCAAAAAUACAGAACCAGAACUUUCUGGUUUCCUUCCAACAUUGACCAGCUUCAGGGAAUUGGACCUGCCUGCCUGCGCCCUGAACUCUGGACUGGGCAGCCUGGGGUGAGUGUCCUCACACCAUUCUGAGCCCCUAGGAGGGAGUUUAAGAUACCUCAGAUAACAGCAAAUUGGGGAGGGCAGCAAAACCCCAGUCAGCACACUUCAGAAAGACCCUGAGCAAUAUGAAGAGGACCAGAGAUCCUCCAGACCCACCUAUCUAAAAGAAACCAGAAACAUGACAAGAGAUAGAAAUUUUAAAAAAGCAAACCUCCAACCAAUGACCCUGGAAAAAUAAGCCUAGGAGAGAUAAAUACCGAAGAGAAACAGUGCAGUAAUCAUGCAAUAUUAGAUACAGCAUCAGUGGACAUAAAGAAAUAACUUUAUGACCUCUAGACGAAUUUAAAACUACUUCCAAUCCAAGUGAGGCAAGACAUAAAAAGAUUAAUUAAAUAAAUGAUAAGCCCCUCCCAAGAGAACACAGAUGGGAAGAAUGGAGGAACUCAGAAAGGAAGACAAACCUUUCUGAAGAAUAUAAACAAAAUCUUGAAUACAUGAAAUGGAUCCACGGAGAUUACCAGGAAACUAAAAACUCUAUUGAAAGUUGGCAAAAUGCCUUGACAAAAACUAAAGUUAGCCUUUUCAAACUUAAAGAGAGAUUUAUGGUGUGUGAUUGUGAAAGAAAAGAUCUCUUAAAAACAACAAGGAACCAGGAAAAAACAAUACAAAGGCUAGAAGACGAAAAGAAGAUUCAUAACUUAAGAAUAAAAUACGUGAGCUUCAAAGCAGGAGUAACUAAAAAUGAACUACAAAGACUAUUCACAGAUAUAAUUAGGGAAAGCUUCCCAAGCAUAGGAAAAAGAAAUGAUAUCCAGAUAAAAGAGGCAUACAGAACUCCAGCCACCUACAAUCAAAACAGAUCUAUACCCAGACAUAUAAUAAUCAAGAGUCCAGAAAUCCACCACAAGAACAGCAUGUUAAAAGCAGCCAGAGAAAAGAAUCAGAUUACCUACAAUGGAAAAAUUAUCAAAAUAAUGACAGACUUAUCAACACAAACUCUCAAAUCGAGAAGAGCCUGGGGGGAAAUAGUCCAAGCCCUGAAAGAAAAUAACCUCCAACCAAGACUGAUGUACCUGGAAAAACUCUCCCAAAAUUAAUGGAGGAACGAGAUAUUUCCAAGACAAGGAGCAACUGUUGGAGUUCAUGGCCACCAACCCAACCCUACAAAAAAUACUGAAGGAUAUUCCAGAGAGAGAGAUUGGAAAAAAUACCAGGAUUCCAGCAACAGUGACAGAGAGGCCUCAAUGAACGGGGCAGAUAGUGGAAUGAAGAAGUAAAGUGGACAAAUUAUGACAGAAGAAUAAAAUAGCAGAAAUGAGGCAGAGACAGUAAGCUACAAUCUUUAAUAUAUAGAUAGGCCUGAUACACUAACAAAAAAAAAGAAACACAAGCAGAGUAGACUAGGAGGCAGGAUCCUUCAAGGUGCUCUGAAUAGGAGAUACACUCAACUUGAAAGAGGAUUAAUAAACUGAGUCAAAGAUGAGAAAACAAUGCAAUAUGUGACAGGAAACCAGAGAGAAAUAGGGACAACUUGUCCAGCAGCUGCAGAUAGACUGGAAAGCUAUGACACUUUUGGGCAAUGUAAAACCACACAGCUGGAAGGAAGAAUAAUCUUGUGACUUUAGUAAGUAAAGGAGUACAGCUCAAGAUCAAGCUCAGGGGUAAAAAGGUUUAGCAACACUCAGAUAAAUAACAAGUUGGUCCCCUAAUCUAAAAACUAAAAGAGCUACUGGGACCCAAAGUAUACAAAGCACCCUGAGAAAAGGAAAAGCGAGAAUUUGUCUGAAAAAGGAAGGCAGAAGACACUGUUAAUAGUAUAUCAGGAUUUAAAAGUCACUGUAGUCUUACCGCUCUGUUUAGUUUGAUUAUAUUUUGUUCUGGUCUGUCUACUUAUAUUAGAUUUGAGAGCACAGACAGCUAACCCUAAAAUAGCAGGUUAUACCAUGUUAACUAUCCUUAAUUUCCUAUUAACUUAAACUGAAACCCUGUGAUACUUACAUUGUCUUACUAUGACAGAUCUUAUUUGAAGCUGGUUUGUUAGACCACUGUUUAGCCUUCACUGUUCAUUGGAGUUUGGUAUCCUUGAUAGUAUCAAGUCUGGGAGUGGAGACAACUAUUCUGAAGACGACAAGAUGUAAAAGAUAUCCAUUCUGGUUUUGAUUAUUAACUGCUUUCAAGUCCUACAAUGUCUUCAAAGUUGUGUUUUUAUUAAAAUAGCUAUGUAAUGUUAUGUUUAACUAUAUUAUGCCUGAUGAUGUGGACAAUUCUAUUGAAAAUAACAAGAGAAAGCAUCAUAACUACUGUAGAUCAGCUAAUAUUGUGGUCCUAUAUGUCUUUUUCAUUUCAUGUUUUUCUAGGAAUUUAUUUUGUUGUCUUGUUUUGGUCUGUUUUUCCCUAUAAUACAGAAAGGAUAGAUAUACAUGUAGAGAUUCACACAUGGGAAGAAUUUCUAAACUGUUUUCAGGAACAGAUUAUAUAACACACAAUGUAAUGAACAGAUGCUCUGAAGAAGAAGAGACACUAAGAAACCCAGUGCUAAUUCUGUAGUGUUAUGAUAUGAAAUCUAGCAAUACUAUCAUUCACUGUUCAGAGUGAUAUUAUGUUCAAUUUCAGCAUAGGUAAAGAUAAAGACAGCUACUAUGAAGAGACUGAGAAACAUUAUGGUAGACAUUAUUGACUUCCCCAAAAUCAGGUCUUGAAGACCUAAAAAGCCUUCAUCAUCCUGUAAUAAUCUGAUUAGUUCUAUAAUGUUCAGUAUAUAUUCAAUGUGUGUGAAGAUGGGGACAACUAUUUGGAAGAAAACUAGAGAAAAUAAGAUAGACAGUGAAGAUCUCCAGUAGACUUGCUUUGAAAUAUAUAUUUCUUUAAAUUGUUGCCUUAUAAACUGUUUUGUUCUGUUUAAUCUUAUCCUAUUUAAGAUAAAAAAAACAAGUGUGUAGUACUGAUAAUCAUAUUACUAAGUUCUUGUUGGAUUAUUGAGUAGAACUGUUUGCAGUGUCAUUGUUUGAAUAUCACUUUGUAUGCUUUAAUUUUGUAACUAGAGAAACUAUUUCUAAGAUGACGGUAUGUAACUUAUCGACUGGUGAUUUCUUACUGUUUAUUUUUCUGAAAUUCUGUAUUGUUUCUACCCUUUUUAUCUGUUUUUUUCUUUAAAUAAAAAAUACGUAUUAACACUCAUGCAUGCGUACAACCUACAGUUUACGAGAACUGAUCUUACAAUGCAUAAUGAAAUGAACAAAUACUUUGAAGAAUGAUAGAUACUACAGUAUCCAGUGCUGAUCCCAUAGUGUCAUGAUGUGAAAUUCAGCAAUACUAUUAUUCUUUUUUCAGAGUGAUUAUAGCCUGCUAUGGUUUGUUUAAUCUCAACAUAAAUGAAGAUAUGGAUAAGUGCAUAUAUAUUUUAAGUGUAUAGGAUUGAUAACUGUAUUACUAAGUUUUUGUUGGAUAGUUGAGCAGAACUGGUUGCAGUCUUGCUGUUUGAAUCCCCACUUUGUAUGUUUCACUUUUGUAUCCUGAACAAUUAUUUGUAAGAGGACAAUAUAUAAUCAUCAAUUA